This 119-nucleotide ribosomal RNA is filed under the name Rhodnius prolixus. Lineage: Eukaryota; Metazoa; Arthropoda; Insecta; Hemiptera; Reduviidae. The record is from RNAcentral.
GCCAACGGCCAUAUUAUGUUGAAUACACCGGUUCUCGUCCGAUCACCAAAGUUAAGCAACAUCGGGCGUGGUUAGUACCUGGAUGGGUGACCGCCUGGGAACACCGCGUGCUGUUGGUA